RNAcentral lists this ribosomal RNA (496 nucleotides) under uncultured bacterium. Its description in RNAcentral is "SSU rRNA". It matches the Rfam family "Bacterial small subunit ribosomal RNA", at positions 26 to 521 of the family's 1533-position model. The record is from RNAcentral.
AGGACGAACGCUGGCGGCGUGCUUAACACAUGCAAGUGGAGCGACGAACCAGGGCUUGCCCUGGGGCAGAGCCGCGAACGGGUGAGUAACACGUGGGUUACCUGCCUCGAUGACCGGGACAACCCGAGGAAACUCGGGCUAAUACCGGAUGUGCCCGCAAGGGGAAAGGAAGCUUCGGCCUCCGCAUCGAGAUGGGCCCGCGGCCCAUUAGCUUGUUGGUGAGGUAACGGCUCACCAAGGCUUCGAUGGGUAGCUGGUCUGAGAGGACGAUCAGCCACACUGGGACUGAGACACGGCCCAGACUCCUACGGGAGGCAGCAGUGGGGAAUCUUGCGCAAUGCGCGAAAGCGUGACGCAGCAACGCCGCGUGGGGGAAGAAGGCUUUCGGGUUGUAAACCCCUUUCGAGUUGGGACGAAGCUUCUCCGGUGAAUAGCCGGACGGAGUGACGGUACCUUCACAAGAAGCACCGGCUAACUACGCGCCAGCAGCCGCGGU